RNAcentral lists this long non-coding RNA (34882 nucleotides) under Gossypium barbadense (sea-island cotton). Its description in RNAcentral is "long non-coding RNA (GBAR_LNC013169)". Lineage: Eukaryota; Viridiplantae; Streptophyta; Magnoliopsida; Malvales; Malvaceae. The record is from RNAcentral.
CAACAAAGUUCAGCCUUUCCAAAUUAAAGGAGUUAGAAUUGACGUGCUUACCAGAGCUGAAGAGCAUAUGCAGUUCAAAUAGGGAAAUGGUAUGCAACUCUCUUAGGAAAAUUAAAGUAUGGGACUGUACGAAGCUAAAAAGGAUGCCUCUGUGUCUUCCUCAUUUUCUAGAUACACACCAAGCAGCUCCUUCUGUUCGUCCUUUCGUAAGUGUCCUCGCGCAUCCAAAGGAGUGGUGGGAAUCAGUAGAGUGGGACUAUCCGAAUGCUAAGGAGGUUCUGCGACCUUGGUUGAACUUUUAUUAGCGCUGCUGGAAGCCUUUGCUGUUCAAAUCAAAUUCCGGAUCAAGCUAAACAGUGAGUCUUCAUUUGUUGCUUUUAUUUCUAGAAAAAAAAUUGAAGAUUUUUUAUUCUACCAAAAAGAAGACGGGCAAGAAGAGGAUUAUGAUUGGCAAAAUAGAGACCAAAGAGAACAAAGCUAUUACCAAUGUUUGAAACAAAUUUAUAUCAAUUAGCAUCAUGCUUUGUUACCAGCUGUAGGCUAAUUUGGUUGAAAUGGUUUUAAUAAAGCACGGUCUCAUUUGCUUCUUUGUUUAACCCCAGUGAUUAGGCUUGCUCUAGAACCCUUGAGAUUCUCAUUAUGACAUUAAUGAUUUGAAUGAACGAACAGCCCCUUUUUCUUCUUUAUUUGGUAACUGCGCUUUAAGUUGAUAUAAAUAUGUUUUCCAAUGUAGUAUUCUUGUUUGCUUAGAUCAAUGUCAAAAACCUUGCCUCCAAUGCUUCCCUUUCUUCUCCACCUUUUUUUUUUUUUGAAUUCUUUGUGGGGUCUUAUUAAAUACAGGUUGUUUAUACCAUUCUAAAGCUAGCAAAGCAGUUGGCUUGACAAUCAAAUCUUUGAGAAACAAAUCAACCCAACUCAUCACUGUACCUUCAUUCUUCUGUGGUGGUUCUAUCUUUGAUGUGGUACUUCGUCGGAUGCAUCCUUCUCUUGUGGUUUUAUCUUUAAUAAAUGAACUUCAAUUUGGUUUCAAUGUGAUUGGAUUGUUGAUGUUGUAAUUCAACUUUGUACUUGAUAAUCCUGCUUCUAGUUUGCAUCAUUUUUUACCAUGUGGUUGUGUUUCCUGUGGCUUAAUUGUCUCAUUUAAUCUUGGAACUUGCACAUUUAUAUAUAUAUUGAACCAUCCCAAAGGUAUAUACCACUUCUUGAAAUGGUGUUUUAUUUAGGUGGCCUUUUUGCUAUUGUGAACCAUCCCAAUGCUAAGCAGGAUCUGCUACCUUACUUGGUAAUGCUAUAGCGCUACUGAAAGGCUUUAUCCAAAACUCUAUCUAUUCCUUGCAUCUGAUGGUGGGUUAAUGUUUAGACAUAAUCUAGACUUGGAUUUGAUUAAAUGAGCGUUUAUCUAGAUUUUUCAAAUUAAAUUGAUUUGGUUUCAGAAUUAGAAUAAAAAGCUAGUUUUGAAAUUUAUUUUAUUUAAGUUGGAAUGUAUUUUAUUUUGAGUUUAAAUUAAUUAAUAAAAUAAUUUUAAUUUAAUAUAUUAAGUCAAGAUUUUUAGUUGAUUAAGCAAUUUAUUAGUGAUUAAUGGAACUAGUUCAAAAAUUUAUCUUAACUGAAAUAAUUACAUUAAAAAAAUUAAAAUAUCAUAGAGUGAACAUUAUCAUCACAAUUUGCAUUCAUGUAGUUAUAUAACUCUACUUUUAGUUAUCACAACAGCAGAACAGGUUUUUAGCGGCGUUUUUUUUUGCCUUUAGCGGCGCUUUUAAACGCCACUAAAUCCAUUUCUGGUUCUUGAAGAAGCGCCGCAAAAAAUGCCGCUAACGACAACGUCGCAAAUUUUUGCGGCGCUUACAGAAAAAAAUGCCACUAAAGAUCAUGUUCUUUAGCGGCCCUUAGAAAAAAACGCCGCUAAAGAUCAUGUUCUUUAGCGGCGCUAAAAAAAUAAACGCCACUAAAGACCAUCUUUUUUAGCGGCGCUAAAAAAUAAACGCCACUAAAGACCAUGUUCUUUAGCGGCGCUUUAGAAAUAAACGCCACUAAAGAGCAUGUUCUUUAGCGGCGCUUAGAAAUAAACGCCACUAAAGAUCAUGUUCUUUAGCGGCGCUAAGGAAAUAAACGCCGCUAAAGAUCAUGUUAUUUAGCGGCGCUUAAGAAAAAAACGCCGCUAAAGAUCAUGUUCUUUAGCGGCGCUUUGAAAGAAAACGCCUCUAAAAGUAAUGUUCUAUAGCGGCGCUUGUUUAAAAACGCCGCUAAAAGUAGUAUUCUUUUAGCAGCGCUUAUUUCAGAAAUGCCACUGUUUGAUAUGACUUUUAGCGGCGCUUUUUUAAAAAACGCCACUAAUUUUAGGAUUUUUUUUAAAUAAAACUUUCUGUUUUUUUCUGCCCUCCUGCAACAAAAAAUUAAAAGCAACCAAAUCUAAACUAACAAAAAACAAUAAAUUUAUAUAAUAUUUCAAAUUAAAUGACUAAAAUAAUAUUAAUUUAUAUAAAUAAAAUUGAAUUCAUACUUUUCUUUACAAAAGCGUUAAAAGUAUUUAUGCAACAUACACUAUGACGGCGGAAGUUGCGACUGCUGAAACAUCUUCAUCAUAAUCUGAAGCUGCUGUUGAAGUUCGUUGUACUUUUUGCUCUGCUCCGCUUCUCUCGAUGCCGCAUCUUUUUGAAGUCGUAGCUAUAGUUCUUCAUAUUUCUUUUGAACCUCUGCUUCUAUCGCUGCUUCUCUCGCUGCUUCUCUCGCUGCGGCCUCUGCUUCUCUCGCUGUGGCCUCUGCUUUAAGUUGUUGCUGAAGUUCUUCAUAUUUCCUUUGAACCUCAAAUGUGAUCGCUUGCAUCUGAGCCAUCUGGUCUUUUAACCUCUGAACUUCAGCUUGAGAUUGACUCCCCGAAGCCAUGUAUUGGUGCGAGCUGGAUCCAAAAUAUUGGGUUGGGCUGAUAAAAGAUCCUUGAAAUCGAACCCGACCAUACUUUUCAGGACCCAAUACUUCAGUAAUAAUCCGGUUAUCAAUGUCUUCAAGAUGAACAGAACUAUCACUAGAAGCAAUCGCUUCGUACUCCGUCUUUUUUUCCUUUAGUUUUUCCUAAUAAAUAAAUCACAUAGUUAGGAACGCAAUAUAUAUAGUAAAAAAAACAAAUGCAAUAUAACAAUAGUCGCAUUACAAGCAAUGAAUUAAACCAUUAGAAAAUAAACACUAUAAAUAACUAAAACAAGUGAAAUCAUAUUAAGUAAACGUACCAUAAUUUCACCAGCUUCAGGAGUCAUAGCAGAUCCAUCUUUUUUCUUAUGUGUAAUUUCAAAAAGUUGUAGGCGUCCAACUUUUUGACCGGAUGACCGUUCCUACAAUAUAGUAGUAAAAAUAUUAUUUAAUAGAAAGUUAUACAUAUUUGAGAAUAUUAAAAAAUUAAAAAUACCUCCGCCUCAGCUACACAUGCAAAACUUCUCGACCCGGCUGUGUGAGUGAAUUUUUGUUGCUGCCGGCUGCUUUUUCCAACUCGCUCACGAUCCUACGUUAUAAAAUUUUUAGUACGUAAAUAGUAAAUACUAUAAACCAAAAUAAUUACAAUAGUUUGGAAGUACGUCGUACCUCGCCUUUCUGAGAAUACCAAAAUCUAACCGCAUCUUCCCAUUGGUACCUCAACAUACCCGGCGGGACAUUUUGCAAUUUCUCAUCGAGGGUGGUUUUUGUCUUAUAAUAAUUUUUCUUCAAAGUACUUUUACUGUCUCUCCAUCUUUUUCCCAAUGCCUUCUUUACAUAAGCAUCGGAGACCUCUAAAGCAAAUAAAGUAAAUAUAAAUGAAACUAUUUCCCAAGCAUUACAGAUGACAUUAACAUUUUGUUACCUUAAUAUUAUCGAAGGCUUGGUUUUUGUUGCUAUCGGGCAUUUGACGCCAUGACUCGUAGUUGAUAGGCAACAUAUUCGGAUUUCGUGCUAAAAUGCCCAUGUAUCCUGCUAAAAGUCGAGCUUCUGAUUCAACAGGCUGACCAAAACUGUUUCUGCGUACCUUGACACGCUCGGCUGGAUCUAACUCGUAUAACUCUCUAAGUAGCGUACGUCCUCGACCUCUACGCGUCCCACCAUUUUCAGCUACAAAUGGUAUAUUAUAAUAUAAGAAUUUGAAAAAUAAAUCAAUUAUAAGUUAACACGCAUGGAAUUAAUGUAAGUUACUUUGAACUUCCGUAAGAUCCUCGUGUGUAAUCGAAACAUUCGAAGAUCCAAUUGCUGUCUGUUGUUCAGUACUAUUUGUUUCUAUCGAGUUUGGAUCAUUUUGAACAAUGCUUUCCCUUAUAAUUUUUCUUCUAGGCAUUUUAUCUGCAAUACACAUAAAAUGUAAUUAAACUUAAUAAUUAAUUACAACAAUAACAGCACAUAUAAAAUAGUUGAGUUAUAUAAUAAGACCAAGAUUUAAUACUAAUGUAAGUAUAUAAUUAAACAAUCGUAAAAUCUUACUACAUCAUUAUUCGUAAAAAUCUUCAUCCGUAUCCUGACGAACCCAUUGAAAUUGUGCACUAGUACUAAGGGUAUUAUCGUUUAAGUUUUGUUCUGGAAAUGGAAAAGUUUUUGAUCUGUCGUCGAUGUUAUCUCUACUUCCACUGCCCAUGUCAAACAAGUCUCUAGGGAUGUUACGGAGUACAACGUACCAACCCUCAUCAGUUGGAUCUUUUGAGUAAAAAACUUGUUUGACUUGACUUGAGAAUACAUACGGCUCAUCUAUCAGUUGUUGUCCUGUGUGAAUCAAUCGGUCAAAGUUCACCAUUGUAAAACCAAAUUGAUCUUGCUUGAUUCCACGAGCUGUAUUAACAUCGGCCCAAUCACCUCGAAAUAAGACAACUUUCCAUUUGCCGUAGUAAUCCAACUCAAUUAUGUCAGUAAGCUGUCCGAAAUAUUCCACAUUUCCCUCGACUGGAUUAUUGUCCCUAGCGCUAGCAUAACUUGUAAUUGCAGAAUUAACAACUAUUCCACAAUUUUGCGUUCUCCUCAACCUCUCGCGAUAUUUUGUAUGAAAUCUGAAUCCGUUGAUGAGGAACGCACUAUAUCUUUUAACCACUCGAUUUGGACAUUGGGAGAGCCAUUUAACUUCGUCGUUUACGCUCUUCCCAUUCGAAACCUAUUGAAUGGAAAGUAAACUAAGUACUUAAAAAUGUUAUGAGAAAGCAUUAUUAUUUGUAAGCGAAAGCUCCAACUACAUACCGUUUGGCUUAACCAUUCAUAAAAAGAUUCUGUAAACAACUUCUUGAUAUCUCGAUGUUGUGUUCUUCGGUUGCGCGAACGAGAUCUCAAUAUUUGUUUGUACUCACUAUAUAUGUUAAAAAAAUGUGAUCUUUGUUAGAAGAUAAACAAUUUUUAGUUUGAUAAAUAUUUAUAAAAUUUGUAGAACUUACUUCCGUAAAGGUUCCAAUGAUUCGUGGUGAAACAGAACAUAUCGUUGUGCUUGUACCCACAAUAAAUUAUCUAAUUCCGCAAUUUCAACUUUGCCGAUUGGUUGUCCAGAACUUUGGAACAAAUAAGUACUAUCGGCUAAGUUAUAGUCUGUGAGUCCAGCAUUCCUAUUUGGUCUGUUCAACCUUGUUUCGACAUCUUCCAAAUAUCUUGAGCAGAAGGUCAUACAUUCCUCUGCCAAGUAGCCUUCAGCAAUCGAUCCUUCUGGAUAUCGCUUGUUGCGACAAUAAGACUUUAAUUUGGAUAGGAACCUAAACACAAUAUACAACAUUAUCAUAAGUUGUAACUAUAGGCAUAGAGGUGAAUGAAAGAAAAUUUUAAAAAUACUUCUUUAACACCUUUCUAUGGGAUACAUCCAUCGAUAGAAAACGGGUCCGCAUACAUCCUCGACUGUGCAUCAUUUUCAUCGUCGUUCCCAUCUUCUGUGUUUCUAUUUAUCCAACGGGAGUGGCCGCAUACAUGACAGCACUGUUGGUUUUUCCGAUCGCCCCAAUACAACAUGCAGUCAUUUGGGCAACUAUGGAUUUUGUUGUACCCAAGGCCUAAAUCUUUUAUCAUUUUCUUCAUAUCUUUGCAUGACUGAGGGAUUUUUGUAAACGGAAACAUUUCUCUCAAAAACUCUAGUAGCAUUGUCAACGAGUUUUCGGUCCACCCUCCCAAACAUUUUAACUGAAAAAGACGAACACAGAAGGCCAUUUUUGAAAAUUUUGAUCCCUCAUACAAUUCUUCGUUCAUGUCAUUAAGUAGAGCGUAGAACUUCGCCGCUUCUCUAUUUGGCUCUUCAUGAGGUACACUACUUCCCGGUUUGGUAAAAGUAGUUCCACCGACGUUACAAUCAUCAUAUGCCAUAAAAUCCCCUGGGAACGAUUACACACCAUGAUUGUGCAUAUUAAAUGCAUCCCGCAACAUACCUUCCAUGUCAUCCCCUCUAUCAGACUAAUGGUAAGCAGUCCCAGGAUAAGAUACAUCCAUCGUUAAAGAGGAAGUACUUCUAGGGCAUUCUCCAUGAAAAAUCUAUUGCUUAUAACCCUUAACAAACCCAUCAACAAUUAGAUGCUCGUAUACAACCUCACGAUAAUGCCAGUUUAGGUUGACACACUUUUUACACGGGCAAAGAAUCAUGUUCUCUUGGCUUGCAUAUUGAAAUGCAAAAUUUAGAAAACUCUGCACCCCAUUUCGAUAACCGUCGCUUACCCUUGACAAAUUUAUCCAAGACCGGUCCAUUUCUUAAUUCUUGAAGUCUGACGUUGACAAUAAAUUGCACGGUUUUAGGAUUUGACAACAAGAUAUACAUUAUAUAAGUUAUGUAAGUUAUGUAAGUUAUGUAAGUUGUGUAAGUUGCGUAAGAUGUGUAUUAUGAAACUUAUGUAAGUUAUGUCUUAUGUAAGUUAUGUAAAUUAUGUAUUAUUUACACAUGUAAGUUAUGUCUUAUGUAAGUUGCGUAAGUUGUGUAUUAUGAAAGUUAUAUCUUAUGUAAGUUAUGUAGGGUAUGUAUUAUUAUGUAACUUAUUUAAUUUAUGUAGGGUAUGUAUUAUUAUGUAACUUAUUUAAUUUAUGUAGGGUAUGUAAGUUAUGUAAGCUCUGUAUUAUUUACGCAUGUAAGUUGUGUAUUAUGUAUUAUUACGUAAGUUAUGUAGGGUAUGUAUAAUAUUAAAAAAAUAGUAAUAUACUUAUUUAAGUUAUAAAUUUAUUAUUAAUAAAAUUUAAAUAUAGCUUACAUACGUAAAUGAAUAUAUGUAUAAUAUUAAAAAAAUAGUAAAACUUAUUUAAGUUAUAAAUUUAUUAUUAAUAAAAUUUAAAUAUAGCUUACAUACGUAAAUGAAUAUAUGUAUAAUAUUAAAAAAAAUAGUAAUACUUAUUUAAGUUAUAAAUUUAAACUUAAAAAUAAAUUAAAAGUUUGAAAUUUUUUGUAAGUUAUCUAAAAUUAAACUUAAAAAUAAAUUAAAAGUUUGAAAUUUUUUUCCAUGAUUAAAAUUAAAUAAAAGAAAACAAAACAAACUAAAUUUCGGGGAUUAAAAUAGCAACUAAAGGAAAAAAAUUUGUUUUGGAGGAAAACAUAUAAAUAUUUGCAAACUAUACGGGCUUUAACCAAAUGUUUAUAUUAUUUAGACAUAAAUAACCUUCAUUUUCGAAAUAAUUUACUUGUUAUAUGGAAUAAUAUGUAUACAACAGUUAACCAUGUUUUAUAUCAAUGAAACUGAAAUGUGAAAAGAAAUUGGAUUAAUUUGUUAUUGAAUGUAACGUAUAGUUCCGAAAUUUUGAAUAAUUUUAAAAUAAAAAAAUUUAAUCCAAUUUAUUAAAUUUAUUAAAUUGCUUCUAUUUUGCUCAACAUAUAUAGCAAUCGUUGAUGGAUGAUAACAAAAAACAUAAGUCAGAAAAGUACAUGGCAAUUGUAAAAUAAGUAAAAUGAAACAUAAGCUAGAGGAAAAUAACCAAAACCAAUUACAUGUAUACAAAACCAGAGCCCCAAAAGAAACAUUUUUCAAAAAUCAUCUUGCUAUUUCCAUAUAAUAUUCACAAAAAGUCAGACCAUUUUAGUUUAUAGAUUUACUUACCACUAUAUUACAGUUUAAAAUUUUUAAAAAUACAAGAACUAAACUUGAUCAAAUUUCUGAAUCGGUAGUAAGUCCAUAUGAUUAACUGUGCAGUGACUAAUAAGUCCAUACUUCAACAACAAAUGUUAUCAUUAAUCUAGACAAUAAAAGCAAAAGAAUCAAAAAAAAGAAUGAAUCUCAAAGUUCAGCCUAAUAAAGAGGUUGAAAGAAGAUUUAUACCAAAAAUAUUACUUUGCUCAGAAUGUAAUUUGAACUUACAAAUUUUGAACAGUGCUGUAGUGUUCCGUUCCUUGCCACUACUGGAUUUUUGUAAUAGUAUGUAUAGUAGCCCUGCCAUAGCAAACAUUAAUAGAUGUGAAUCAAUAGGUUUUGAGAAUGAAUCUCAACAUCAAUAACCUACCCCUCAUCCUGAGCUAUUUUCGACAGAAAAGAAAUAAAUGAUUAACCAAGGUAGUAACGUACUAAGUUUACAGAGAAGAAUUCUUCUCUUAAAACCAUUUUCAUUGUCUGAUCGAAAUGGUUAAGGUUAUGAAAAUUAUUACCUAAAAAUGUUCUUACUUUCUUAACCCUAAUUUGAAUUUACCGUAUUAAUACCUAAAAAUGAUCUUACUUUCUUAACCCUAGUUUGAAUUUUCUUAUUUCAAUGGCUACUUGUCACUUCAGUGGCUAUUUCUCAACUAAAUACGACGACCCUCAUCAGUCGGCUAGGUAGAAUAAAAACUGAAUUGUAUGUUUAAAAAUUAAACUGUACGAAAAAAAGGAAUAAUGUGAAAACUAAAAUAUGUGAAAACUAUUGCAUUUCACGAAUAAAUAUAGAUGAAAAUGCUGAAAUAUGUGAAAAAUGAAAACCCUUGAACUACCGUCGGCAAGAGAACAAACCUCUAAGCUGGCGAUUUCAAGGUUGCCGAUUUCGGGAAACUCGUUGGGCUGCCGAUUUUCGGGUGAACUUAGGGAUUUCAGGGGGAAUUCUCUAAAAAUCUUAAAGUUUGGGGAACUAAUUAGGGCUGCUGGGGAAAUGAAUGUCGAAAGUCUGCUAGGGAAGAAAGGGGAAAUAAAAAUCGGAGUAAGAGGAAAACGGAGGGGAAGCAAACGACGACGUUUUGCUAAAUGAAAUAAACCCUUGUGGCUUUUAACUAGACGUGCCGCUAAAUCCAUGGAAAUUGCGGCGUUUCAAAACAAACGCCACUAAAAACCCACAAAAAUGGUGACGUUUGCAUUAAUACAACACAAGGAAUUCCGACGUUUUUGACAUUGCGCCUCUAAAUCCUGCAGCAUUUACGGCGUUUGACCAAAAACGCCACUAAAGAAGCUAUCAACACGGUGCCGUUUUGCUGAACACAGAUUCAGGGUAAGGGCAAAACAGAGGACAGAAAAACGAUGACGUUUGAGUAAUAGAAAUAAACUAUUGCGGCAUUUAUUAGAAACGCCGCUAAAUUUCUACCUACUGCGGCGUUUAAUCCAAAACGCCACUAGAGAACCUCCAAAACGGCCGCGUUUGGGUUAAUAGAAAAUGACGUUUGCAUUAAUACAACACAAGGAAUUGCGGCGUUUUUGACAUUGCGCCUCUAAAUCCUGCACAUUUACGGCGUUUCACCAAAAACGCCACUUGUGAAGCCAUUAACACAGCGUCGUUUAGAUAAAAAUAGAAUUAGAACGAGGGAGAAAAUGUAGGAGACCAAAACGACGGCGUUUUACUCUCUGCAAUAAAUGUUUGCGGCGUUUAACUAAAAACGCCGCUGGAUACACACAAAACACAGCCGUUUUGAUAAACACAACGCCGUUUUCAUUAAAAUAUCUUAUCUUUUUGCGGCGUUUUCUGUAUUGCGCCGCUAUAGGUCUACAUAUUGCGGCGUUUCUCUGAAAACGCCACUAAAUAAGCCUAUUGAACGGCACCGUUUUUAUGACAACAUAAUUCCUUUAGUAUGAAAUUUGUUUCUAUAUUUGAAAGGUUUAAUUAUUUCUUAAAUAAAUUUAAAUUAAAUUUGUUCUGUUCCACGCUAUAUAUUUAAUAUGUAAAAUUUUAAUUAUAAUUGUAUACAUGAAAAUAAUUUUAAAUAAUAUCAAAACUCGAGCUAGAUAUAUGUCUUCCUUCUGAAGAAUAUUAUGUAAUUUUUUGUAUUAAAUUAAGAAGGCAAAGCUUAUGAUGUUACGAUAGAAUCGAAAAAAAUUAGACGGAUCAAAACAAUCCGAAAUAGAUGUUCAUGAAUAUUGGUUAAUAGAAAGGAUCGAUAUAUAUAUAAUUCUAUUCCCUUGACUGAUCUUGAUUUUAGUUCAACUAGUAUUCGUGUCUGCGCCAUUCUUCAAACAAGAGCACGAACAUAUGACAUUGUAAGAACCCUACAAUUAGUAAGGGUGAAAAACGCUUCAUUAAAAACACUAAUUAAUCAAAACCCCGAAACACUAAACCCCAAAAUUAUACACCCUAAACACUAAUCCCAAUUACCCCUAAACUUUAAACCCCAGCACUUAAACCCUAAACCAUAAAACAUAAUCACUAAACCCAUAAUCCAUAAACCUUAAAUUGUAACUCUUAAAUCUUAAACCAUAAACCUUAAAGCAUAACCCUUAAACCCUAAACUGUAAAACCAAACCCUAAAUAUAUCCCCAUAACCCCUUAAAGCAUAACCCCUAAAUCCCCCUAACCCCUAAGUCAUAACACCUAACCCUUAAACCACAAAACCUUGAACCUUAAUUCCUAAACCUUAAAUCCAUACCCUGACCUACUCAUGAUUAAACUCUAAACCAUAUACUAUAAUGAUAAUUAAUUCAAUAUUUUAAAAUUAAUACUACCUUUUUUACGAUUAUAUAAGAAAUUAUUUAAUAUAUAAACUAAAAAAAUCAGUAAUGUAUCCAAAAAACUUUAAAAAUAUUUUAAAUAAAUUUAUUUAAAUCCCUGAGCAUUAGCGGCGCUUUAUUAAAAACGCCGCUAAACCCCUGAAAAGCUAAGAAAAUGGUGUCGUUGGGUUAAAUUUUUUUUGCGGCGCUUUCAUAAAAGCGCCGCUAAAAACUCAGCAUUAGCGGCGCUUUAUUAUAAACGCCGCUAAACCCCUGAAAAGCUAAGAAAACGGUGUCGUUGGGUUAAAUUUUUUUGCGGCGCUUUUAUUAAAGCGUCGCUAAAAACCCAGCAUUAGUGGCGCUUUACUAAAAACGCCGCUAAAUCCCCGAAAGCAAAGAAAACGGUGUCGUUGGGUUUAUUUUUUUUGCGGCGCUUCCAUAAAAACGCCGCGAAAGCCCUGCAUUAGCGGCGCAUUAUUAAAAACGCCGCUAAACCCCCCCCGGAAGCUUAGAAAACGGCGUCGUUGGGCUUAGUUUUUUAAAGCGCCGCUAAUUCUUAUUUUCAGUGGCGUUUUCAAUUCAGUGCCGCUAAUGAUCGAUCUUUAGCGGCGUUUGUUAUUAAAACGCCGCUAAAUACACCGCUAAAAGCCUAUUUUGGUGUAGUGUAUCCAUAAUUAAUUUUAAAUAUAUAUAUAUAACAAUGAAAAGUUAAGAAAUUUCAAAAAAAAAAAAAACACUUUUUGUUGAGGCCAUAGAUCAAAUGGUUAUAUUUGUUAAAUGACUACUCCAACCGUUAAAACCAUCUUUGUGAAAAAAAAUCAGCUUGAUCAAGAUUGUAUACAGGAGCUAGAAUUGAAUUACUCAAAUAAUUUAAAUUGUUUUAAAAAAAAUUAAUCAACUUUAAUAAUUUCUUUUGAGAUUAAAAAACUUUAAUCAAUUUUAAAAAAAAUUAAAUUUUAUCCAUCCCUAAUCUUUUAAAUAUAAAGAAAGACUCUAAACAGAUUUUUUUUUAUUAAAAAAAUUAUAAGAUGAUAGAUAGCUACUUAUCAUUAAAUUUAGAAAAUAUUAAAUUACUUUUAUUUUAUUAAAAAAUUAAAAUAAAUUAUUUUUUAAAAUGAAAUAUUCAAAUUACCCUAUGUAUCUUUUAUCCAAAACUAUCUACAAUAAUAUAAAAUAUUAUAUUAAUAAAAUUAAAAUUAAUAAAACAAAUAAUCUUUUAAAAUCAAUAUUUACUUUUGUUAAACAAUAUAAUUAUAUUCGAUACUUAUAUUUACUAAUUUAUCAAAUAAUUUUUAAUAUACAUUUAAAACUUAUAAAAUUUAAGGGUAAAAAUGCAGUGGUUAAAUUUUUAAUAAUUAAAAUUUUAAUUUAUCAUUAGAUUAUGUAAUAAACAACAAUAAUAUAUAAAUAAUGAAAGUCAAUUACGCUCAUUGUCUUCCAUUAAAGAAAAGUUACACUCACGGUUUUUCAGUGAUAUUUCAGAUUUAUUUUUUAAUUAGUUUUUUAAUAAUACAUUUUUUUUUAUCGUAAUCAAAAUAUCUAUAGUUGACAGCAGUUACUAAUCUCUUUUUCGAAGGUAGACAAUGCAUUUUUAAUUACAAUAAUUAGUAUAUUCGUUAUUUAAAUUAUUGAAGAUAAUUAAAUUAUAUUAUCUUAUUUUAAAAAUCAAACUUAUAAUAAUAAAAAAUUUAAAAUGAUAAUUAAAGCAUUUAUAUUAUAUUCAAUGUAGAAUAUAAUUUUACUUCAUUUAAUUUAUACAGAACAACAAUACUAAAAAUAAUAAUAUAAUUAACAUAUAAAAUUAUUUUGUCAUUCAAAUGCAGUGCUAAUAAAAAAAUUCUUAAUAAUUAUUAAAAAAUUGUAAAAAUUAUAAAAAAAAGUAAUAUAUCAUAGGGAUCAUAUAUAAAAUCAUUUAAUAAAAAAAUUAAUCUUCACAAAAUUCCAAUGUAUCCCAAAUAAAGUCAUAAUAAUAAAUUUCUUGAUAUUAAUCAAUAAAGAUUAAAACAAAAAAUAUAUAUUAUCAAAUUAGGAAAACCUACUUGAAAAUCUUGAAAAAUUAAUAUUUAUCAUAUAAAAUUCUAGAGAGAAAAAGAGAAUAAGAAAAAUAUUGGAGAAAGUGAUGAAUAUUAAAAAGAAAAAGAAUAAGGAGUUUUGAAAUUUUGAGUAGGUUGAGAGAUAUUUAUUUUGUUUUAUAUAAAUAAAAUAUUUUUAUAACAAACUUUUUUUUUUGAAGUCACUUUGAGUCCACGAUUUUUUAUUGACUUCGCCCACAUAUUAAAAGUAUAAUAUAAAUAAAAGAAUAAAUAUAUAAUCUUUCUCUAUUUUAAUUAUUUUAUCUACAUAAUGUGAUUUAUUUAAAAUAUAAAUAGUAUGAUAUUUUAAUUGAUUAAGUUUUAGUUCAAUUGGUAUGAGUAUUAUUAUCAAUGCAAUAACACAAUAGUUUGAGCGCCCCUCCUUAAUUUUUUAUAUAUAAAAGUUUUAAUUUAUAAUUUCAACUAAAUUGAACCCAAACAAGCAUAAUCUCUUCAAUCAUGGUUUAGUCAAAUUUAUUAUCUUUAAGUUUGAGAUCUAAUCUUUUAAAUUUUAAUUUGACAUAAUUUAUCCUCUAUUUUUAUAAUAUUAUUUGUUAGUCUAAAUUAUUAAUAUCGAUUAAUUAUUUCAACUAAAAAGCUAAUUUAAUUGUUUCUCAAAAACAUUAUAUCACACAUGAUCAGUUAGGAUGUGUUUUAAGAAAAAAUCUACUUCAAUUAAUUAGUUAUUUGAAUUAGCAUAUGAUAUUAUAAAAAUAGAGGACCAAAUUAUGUUACAUUAAAAACUAGAAGGAUUAAUUUUUAAAUUUGAGUAUAAUAGAGGAACCAAAACUAACUUUGACUUGUCUAUUAUUGUAGCAACCCGAUUUUUGACCCAAAUCGGAACAGUGGUUUCGGGACCACAAAUCCGAAUUAGAAAAAUAUUUUAAUAUUAUUUUCUGUGUUUAUUAUGAGUGAAUUUGAUUGUGUGAAAUUUCCGUGUUUUAAUUUCAUCGUUUAAGUAUCCGAUUUAAUAAAAGGGUUUAAACGCGUAAAAUAAAAAUUUAAGGGUUAAAUCUAAAAGCACCUAAAUGUUGUUGUCUUUUUAAAUGGGAGGAUUUAUGAUGUAAUAAGACCAAAAGUUAGAUAGUGGGUGGCAUUUGACAAGAGUAACCUUAAUAUAUAUGUUAGACAUAAUUAUUAGUAAAAGGUUAAUAUAGUAAUAAGGUAAAUAUUAACUUUAUAAUAAAAUUAAGUAAUGAAAAGAUGAAUAGGUUCAUCUUGGUUAGCCGAAUGUUGAAAAGGAAGGAACCAUACAUGGCUUUUUAAGUUUCGGCACUUCUUUAGCUUGGUUGAGGUAUGUUUUGAUUUCGAUUUUUGAUGAUUUUUACGUUUUUGUAAUCGUUGCUUCGUGUUCUAUUUAGCCCAUGCUUUAAUUUUAGAAUUUGAAGGUGAUUUUGAGAUAUGCCAUUGAUGAAUACUUGAGUUUUAUGAUAGUUAAUGAUGAAAUAUGGAAGAUAUGUGAUAGAUUAUAAUGUUUGUUUUUGAAUUUUUGAUGAAUUUGAUUAUUUUGGGUUAAUUUGUAAGAAAAUAUUAAAUUGAGGGACUAGAAUGUGAAAUAAAUGUCAUGCAAGGACCUAUUUGAGUCUAGGGAAUAUUCGGCCAAAGUACAUUGUGAUUAAUUUGGAAUAUUUUGUGUUUUGUGCAAUUUGGACUAAAUUGUAAAAAUGUUAAAUAUCAGGGGCAAAAUGGUAAAUUACCUAUUUAUGUGUUUUUGGACGGAAUUGAAUGAAAUUAUGUUUGAAUGAGUUAAAUUUGAAUGUGUAUAGAUCAAGAAUUAAAGAAAUCGGACUUGGAUCGGGGGAAAAUAAAGUCGUUGAUUAAUUGUUCCGUUCCGGUUUAUCGCUGUUCGAGGUAAGUUUAUAAGCAAUUAAAUGUUAAAAUUUCUGAAUAAAUUUUAGUUAUAUAAAUGCUGAAAUGAAAUAUGCAAAUAUAUAUAUAGCUGAAUGCGUUUUAGUUCGGAAAGUAGAAAUUGAUGUGAAUGCGAUUUAUCGAUAUUUAGCACUAAGUGUGCGAGUAUGGAAUAGCUACGGCUAAAUGAACGGCACUAAGUGUGCGAAAUUAAAAUAAUGAUGUUGGAUAAUGGGCACUAAGUGUGCGAAAUUAAAAUGAUGAUGUUGUAUAACGGGCACUAAGUGUGCGAUACCGAGAGCAACUUUGUUAGAUGAGAAAGAGCACUAAUUGUGCAAUUUCAUUAUGGCCUCGAUCAAUUAUUUUAGUACAUGAUAGUACAAGUAUACAAUGGAUGAAAAAUACUUGAGAUCAAGGUAAUUUGGUUAUUUCAAUUUUGAUGAGAAAAAAAUUUAUACGAGGAAAAUGAAAGUAUAUGAGCAUAUGAAAGUUUAUAUUUGGUCAAUUGGUAACUAUAUGUGAUUUUAUACUUAUGUUUUAUAUGCACUUAUUUAUGAAUGAGUAUAUUCGGUGAAAAGUGGGUAUAUGAAUUGAAUAUGAAAAUAACUAUGUUAUUAUUUAAAGACUUAUUCGGCCAAGCUGAAAAUUUGUUCAUAGUUACAUAUUUGAUAUUUAAGCUUUGCAAGCUCGAAUAUGUAUAUAUACGAAUAUGAUUGCAUUAUUUGAUUUUGUUAUUGAAUUAUUAAUGUCAUUAAAUUGUACAAUUGCUUAUGACUUACUAAGCUGUGGUAGCUUAUUUUGUAUAUGUGUGUUUUCUUUCGAUUUUAUAGAUUUUGGAAGCUAGUUACGGGUUCGGGGAUCGUCAGCGUAGUUAAUCACACUAUCGUCCGUUCAUCGGUAGUUAUAAAAGUUAAAUAUAAAAUCUAUGGCAUGUAUAGGCUAUACUCCCCUUUUUAUUAUAUUUUGAACAAAGUGUGUAUAUAUAUAUAUAUAAUAGGCCAUGCGAAAAUGGCUUGUUUAUUUUGACAUGAAUGGUUUCAUGCUUUGAAUGUGAUUAUGGUUGAUGAUUUAGCUAUGUUUCAUAGAUGGUUAAGACUUAUAUAAAUGAUGUUAUGCUUUGAGAGAUUUUCAAUUUUGAUUAUUAUGCGUAUUGGUUGUGAUAGACAAGUAAAGAUGAUUAAUAUGAUACGAUGUAAGUAUAAGUUACAUUCGAAUUCAUGGAUGGAAACAUUUUAGUUUUUGGCAAUUGAGAUUGAAUUUGAAUUAUCAUAUAUUAUGUGAAAAAUUGUAUAUUGUUUUAUUAUGAAAAUUGAGUAGUUGAAAUUGGUAAUUUGCAUAAUGAGCAUUGUUUAUGGAAUUGGUCUUGUAAAUGACCUUUGAUACAAUUGAAGGUUAAAUAAUACAUAGUAAAUAUAUAUAUAUAGGAUGGGCCUUGGUAUGUCAUGCAUGAAAUUGUUUGAGUAUUAAUGUAUUUGAUAUUAGUUAAAGUAUAAGUAUUUAAGUUUAAUUGUAUUCGGCUAAAACUUGAGAAGUUGACCGUAUGAAUAGUAAUUAUAAUUGAUUUGUUAGUCGAGUAGGCGAAAUGAGUAUGACCUAAAGUGGUGUUUGAAAUAUUUUGCAUAAAUUUUAAUUAUGAAUUAUGUGUUUAUGAAUUUGGUUCGGUAAUACCUCGUAACCUUAUUCUGAAGAUGGACUCGGGUUUAGGGUGUUACAAUUAUAUAAUAGGGUAAACUACACCACAGAUCACCCAUUUAUUGCUCUUUUUUUUUGUCACUCAACUAUCAUUUUUUUAAUGUGAUCAUUUAAUUAUUACAUUUUUUCUUUUUUGGUCACCCAACUAUCAUUUUUUUUAAAUUUGGUCAUACAACUAAUUGAAAUUAUUUUUGUUUGUCCAUUUCUAUUAAGUGUCGUUAAAUAUUUGACGAAAAAAUGACGUGACGAUUAAAAAAUUGGUAUAACAAUAAAUUUAACUCUAACUUUUAUAUAUUCUAUUGAUUUAUUAUUAAAUCAAUUUUAAUUUCAUGGCAACUGACAAAAAUAUACCAAAAAAAAUCUAAUUUAAUUAAAUGAAAAAAAAAACCAAUAAUGUAGUUUACCUAUAUAAUUAUAAGAUGUGGGCCGAACCUACCGGCCUAUAAUGUUUUACCACGAGGGAAUGUAAAAUUUCGAGACUGCCCUGCAAUCAUUUAAGCAAGUCAACUGAAGUCGAGCGGAUGUCCUUCGAUUUUUCAACAUUGGCUGCUAAAAUACCCGUAUAUUUCUCAUCAUUUAGGCAAACCAUUCCAGAGUAGAUAUCAAAGAAAAAAACAGCAGACAGGGUGAAGCAACGCCAAGGUAACAUAUAUUUUUCACAGUAGCUAAGCUAAGUAUAUUUAUUUGUUAACUCUGAUUUGAAUCGCUUUUCUGUGAAGUAGGUUACUCGCAACAAAUUCGUAUAAUCAGACGCUUUUCUCGUUUGCUUCAUCUGAGUGUAAUAGUUCAGGUAAGCUUUUCUUUCAUUUUAAAAGAAGGAAGACGAUGGGUGUGGGUUUGAGAAUAAUCUGAUUUCUUCUUUGUUUUGGAGGAAUUUCAAAAAUCUGACUUCCCAGUUUCGCAACAAUCUUACCUUCUAUAGUUUUUUUUUUUUUUAAUCUUAAAGUCAUUGAACAGUAGAAUAUAAUAUGUAUAAUAAAAUAUAAUAAAUAUAUAGAUCCAUAAUAAUUAGACCUCCUCUGGUUUCUCCGGUCUGUGUUUUCGGGCCCCUUAGACUUUUGUCUAGCAUCUUCUUUUUUGUACAACUUUUGAGAACUGUCGUCCACUGUCUGUAACUUUUUUAUAAUGAAAGUUUCUUUCAUAAAAUAAUCAUAAUUAGAAAAACGUAAUAUUUGAUUGGGUGAGAGAAAAAGACAAUAUAGGCAAGCUACUCAUAUUUUUAUUUUAAAUCAUUUCAAAAGAAUUUUUUAAUUUUAGUUAUCUGAACAUAAAAAUGAAUUAAAUUGACCAAUAAGUGGUAAUAAAAGAUUAACUGUACAUUUUUACCUUAAUCACUCUAAAAUUUAGAUAAAUUAUUCUUUAGUCACUGUAUAUAAAAACUAUUGCUACAUUGGUUUACCCAGUGGAUAACAUUUUACCUUAUAUAAAGAUAAAUUCCUAUUAUCACAGCUUUCCUCGUUUGCCUCAUCUUUGUAUAAUAUUUCAGGUAAGCUUUUCUUUUAUUUUCAAAGAUGAAAGACUAUGGGUGUGGGUUUGAGAAUAAUCUGAUUGCUUCUUUCUUUAAGCUAUGGUUUUGGAGGAAUUUCAAAUCUGACUUCCAGAUUUGAGUUUCGCAACAAUUUCUAGUUUUUUCUUUUUUAAAUUAAUUAUUCCGCCAUUAAAUGUAACAAAAGGCUAACAACGUAUUUUCACAUUCAUCACACUAAAACAAGGGGUUGUUACUGCUUUGGUUUAGGAUAACAUUUGAUCUUAUAUUUUUGUAUACGUUAGUUUUGUAAUUUAAUAACUUUUCUCAAUUUUGAAAAUUUUAAAUAUUCAAAGUCUAUUUGGACAUCACAAAAUAUUUAGUUGGAUAUUUAAUUUUGAAAAAUUGGGUGGCUAAAAGAAACAUAUUUAAUAGUUGAUUGACCAAGAUAUAAUAAACUAAAUAGUUAAAUGAAUAUUCAUAAAAUAUUUAUUAAUUUAAUUUUAAUAUAUUUCUGAUAACCAAAUUAUAAAAAUAUUCACUAUUGGUCUAACCAAAAUAAUUUACGUGUUUAACAGAAAAUUAUAUUUUAAUUUAAAAUUUAAUAAGAAAAAUAAUUUAUUAAUGAAAAAGGAAAUGACAAAAGAAUUUAAGCUAUAAUAAUAAGAAAAUCAUAUUUUAAUAAUAAAACACUAAAAUAAAUUCACAAAAAAUAAUAAUAAAAGGGAAAAGCUAAUUAGACAUUUUAGAAAGUUAAAAUGUUUUUAGUUCAAUCAAAGUACUUUGCACGUUGUAUCCAAAGUAUAUUAUUUAACUUUUAUAAGAAAAAUAUUUUUUAAAUAAAUAAAAAGAACAAAAGGAAAAAAUAAAUAUAAUAAGAAAAAAUAUUUUACUGGAAAAAAAAAAGAAUUCAUAAAAAUUAUACGAAAAAGGAAAAUCAAUUAAAUACUUUAUAAUAUUAUUUUAAAAGAACUCAUAAAAAAUUAAAUAUUUUAAAAGGGUAAAAAUGUUUUAUUUACAUAUUUUAUAUACGUAUUUUAGAAGAUUUUAUAUAUUUUGGAAGAAUAUUUUAUUUUUUAAUACCUUUUGGAGCUGACACUUAAUUUAUAUAUUGAUAGAUAUAUAAUCGUACAUUAAAAUCUAUCCUUCAUAAAGAAGUAAGUGUGACUAAUGGACGUAGUUAUUAUUACUACAUUGCAGAUUAUUUGGUGAAUUAUGGAACUUGCAGGACCAAUUUGUGAAGUGCUAAAGUGCUUAGGAGAUCCAACAUGUACAUACAUACAGCAUCACAGAAAACUUAAAGACAGGAUGAAUGAUCUUCAAGAGAGACUAGUCCGACUAAAUGCUAUGAAGAGAGAUGUGGAGCGGAGAAUAAACGCAGAGCUUCGAUGGGGAAGACUUUUAAGGGAAGAAGUAGAGAAGUGGCUUCUAGAUGUGCAAACCGUCAAUGAUACAAUGCGGGACAUUGAUGAACGAAUGCAAAAUGUGUCUUGUUUUUCACGUGCACGCCUUGGAAAACGUGCAGUUCAAACAAUUGAACAAGUGGAGGGAAUUAUUGAACGAGGUAGGUUCCCUGAAGCUCUAGUAAUUGAUAAUCCAUCUACUGCUGGAGUGCCUUUUCAAUCGGAACAUUUAGAAGGUGAAAUCAUGGUGAUAAAAGACAUUUGGAACUAUUUAAUGAGUGAUGAAAUUGGAAUGAUUGGAGUAUGUGGGAUGGGUGGGAUCGGGAAAACCACUAUCGUGAAGCACAUAUACUAUCAACUAUUGAAGGAGACUAAACCUUUGUUUGAUAAAAUCAUUUGGGUCACUGUUUCAAAGGAGCUCAACAUUCCCAAAUUACAGCAAAACCUUGCAACUGCUAUGAAUAUUGUAGGUCUUCCAGAAUCUGAACCAGAGCGUGUAGCAGUAUUAAUGGAUAAAUUGGGACAAAGAAGAUAUGUAUUGAUCUUAGAUGAUGUUUGGAAAAAGUUCUCUCUGGCAGACGUAGGGAUUCCUAAACCAACCUCCAGCAAUGGGAGUAAGUUGGUAUUAACUAGUAGAUUGAUUGAGGUUUGUAGAUCAAUGGACUGUAAGGUAGUCAAAGUGCCUCCACUCUCCAAUGAGGAGUCCAUGAAUUUAUUCUUGAAGCAUGCUGGACGUGGGGUUUUAAAGGUUCCAUCUUUGAAAGAAAUUUUGGACAACGUUGUUAAGGAGUGUGAUGGGUUACCCCUUGCCGUUGCUGUAAUAGCUGGGAGCAUGAAGGGAAUAUAUAACGUUGAAGAAUGGAGGAACGCAUUAAGAGAGUUACGAGACCAUGUAAGAAGCGUGAAGGGCACAGAUGUUGAAAUAUAUGAGCGAUUGAAGUUCAGUUUCGAUCGUUUGGGAGAUUUGAAAAUCCAAAGUUGUUUUCUUUAUUGCUCACUAUAUCCAGAAGACUAUAUAAUUCCAAGGAAGGAAUUAAUAGAAUACUGGAUAGAUGAGGAAUUUCUUGGAAAUGGGAGUCGACAAGAGUUGCAUGAUAAGGGUCAUACUAUAUUAAAUAGGCUGGAAAAUAAUUGUUUGUUGGAAAAGGUUGGUAGAGAUAUUGUGAAGAUGCAUGAUGUAAUGAGAGAUACAGCAUUGUAUAUCAAAGGUUCUGGCUCCCGUUUUAAGGUACAAUCUGGCAUCGGACUAAAAGAACUACCAAGCAAGCAAGAAUGGGGAGAAGAUCUUGAAAAAGUUUCCUUCAUGGUGAAUAACGUAUCUGAGAUUCCUCCGCACUUGUCACCCAAUUGUGAAGUUCUUUCUACCUUAUUAUUGCAAAAGAAUGAAUCAUUACAAAGGAUUUCAGAAUCGUUCUUUCAACAUAUGCAUAGACUCAGCAUUCUUGAUCUUUCUUAUACCAAUGUCAAGCAACUGCCAACUUCUGUGUCAAACUUGGAAAAGCUCAAAGCAUUGGUGCUUCGUCGAUGCUACAACUUGAGAUAUGUGCCUUCACUAGAAAAGCUUGAGGCUCUAAGAAAGUUGGACCUCAAUCGUACAGCUAUUGAAAAGGUGCCUAAAGGUUUGGAAAUGUUAUCAAAUCUAACUUAUCUUAAUUUAUGUGCUGAAAGCUUAAAGGAGCUGCCAGUUGCAAUUCUACCCAGGCUUUCUUGUCUGCAAUGUUUGAUGUUAUACGUUGAAUCAAGUCGUAUAAGAAUGAAUGGAUUCGAUGCUACCAGAUUAACGAAGCUAGAGAGAUUUGAAGGGAGAUUUACUGAGUUGAUAGACUUUAAUGCCUACACCAAGUCUAUACAAUGUCAACUGCUCACUUCUUACUUGCUUGUCAUGGCACCACUUGAAGCCAAGUUUAACGUGAAACAACGUAUAAAAGGCAUAAAUUGUGUUUACCGUUUCAAGUUGUUGAAUGUGGACAGCGACAAAGGGAGGCAGAAGGCGAUGAUGCUCGCAAGCGGGCUCCAAGGUACGGAUGCAAUUAAAUCCAUAAAAAUUCAAUAGAGUAGGGACCAUUUAGAAGGCCGAUUAAGGCCAGUGCGGGUAAGUUGGUAGUCCCAACUGUGUUGAAUGUCAUCGUGUGGCGCUGUGGAGACUGUAUCUCCACCCUGCUGCAUACCCAUGUUUUCUGACUGGACCCUUAAAGGUCCAGUGCCACUCACCGCACUCCCCUUCCCAUUAUAUCUCCUAAAGCUUUAUUAUAAUAAUAAUAAUAAUAAUAAUAAUAAUAAUAAUUAUUAUUAUUAUUAUUAUUAUUAUUAUUAUUAUUAUUAUUAUUGUUGUUGUUGUUGGACAAACCUUUAUUUCUCCCCCCAUCUUCUUGUUGUUUGUUGGUUUUUUCCCUUUUAUUUAUUCAAGGCUUUUAGUUAAUUAUUUAGUUAUAAAUGAAUUUAUAAAAUUAUCAUAGUAAAGGUUUAGAGUAAAUACUUUACACAUAUAAUUAAUUACACAAAAUAGCUUUAUAAUUAAUUAAUUACAAAUAAGAGUAAAGAGCCAGAACAUUGUAAAUUCUAAAAUAAAAGCAUAAGAAUAAUAUAUAUAAAUAUAUAAAUAAAUCAAGAAAUAAUCGAAUAAAUUGCCAUUAAUAUAUAAUCAUUUUUAAUAUAAAAUAAUGUGUCAACGAUUAAAAUUUUUAAGAUUUUAAAUGUUAAAUAAUGUUAUUAGGGAAAAAAAAGGUUAAAUAAUAUUAAAAUACAUAUAAAAACAACAAAAAAUUUAUUUUUUAAGUAUUAAUUAAUGUGAAUAUGUUAUUAUCAAUUCUUUUUAAAUAAUAUUAAAAUACAUAUAAAAACAAACAAAUUUUAUUUUUUUAAGUAUUAAUUUAUGUGAAUAUGUUAUUAUCAAUUCUUUUUUUUUAUUAAUUUCCCAUUACUUAUAGCAAAACUACUAUUUGGCAUAAAAAUAUUUUAAUAAAAUUUAUUUAUGACAUAAAUGUCAAAUUAUUUAAAAAUUAUGUUACACUCAAACUUUAGUUUGGCAUUUGUAUUUGUUUUGUUAAUAUAAUUUACUCACUGCCAUUUGUUUUUAUUAUCUAAUCACUUCGUAUUAUCCAUUUUGGUUCUACUGUGUUAUAGUUACUUGUACGUAGAGCAAUUAAAUUCUCUUUUACAAACCUUUUGAAUAUCACUUAAACCAAUUAUUUAAAUUCUAAAAUAAUCGUAUAUGACUCUACCGAGUGUAUUUUAUAAAGUUAUACUAAAUAUUAUAUUAUUUAAAUUUAAAAAAAUUAUAAAAUUAUGCUAAAAAUUAUAUUGUAAAAAAUAAUUUAUAUGUUACAAAAAGUCUUACAAUCUUUUUUUUUUUUAGUUAUGAAAAAAAAUUAUAUAAUUUGUAAGAAAUGUUAUGAAAGUUAUUGAACACUAUAUAAUUUUUUUAUAAAUAUUUUAUAUUAUUUUUUACCUGAUUUAUUUAUUAUAAAAAUAGUUAUAGCAUAAGUUUUUAUCCAAAUUAAGUUUAAGUUUUUAUAAUCAAAACUAAAUUAUAAAGUUUGUAAUAAUAAUGAUUUACUCAUUUAUUUCAACAUCAUAUAUUUACAAAUUAUGUAGUUUUCAUUCUUUAAAGGUUUAUUUAAAUUGUUAUUUAUUUAAACACUUAAAUUUUACAUUCCAACCAAAUAAAAUAAUCUUAUAUUCACCCACAAUUCUAUUAUUCCACAAACUAACUACACCUUUAAAUUUUUAUUUAUUUAUGCUCCUGUGCUUUAAUACGGUAUGGUGGCUAAUGUAGUACCCCCCCCCCCAAAAAAAAAUACAAUUGGCAAUAGUAACACUAAUGAUUAAUUAUAUUAGAAAUUGAGUUUGAUAAGUACUAUCAUUCUUGAUUGGUGAAGGUGCGGAAUCUGUUUCCUUGAUCUCUAAAGAUAGGACGAUUCUGGAAGUGUCUGGUGACUCAGAAAUGGGACCCACUAAAAUUGCGGCAAAUUGGAAGAAACGAGGUAUAGAAGUGCAGCUCGUGGAUGAGCGGUGGGACCCUACCUCUCUUCCUAUGAAAUACGUGAUAUUAAGCGGGUGUCCGAUAGGACGAGAAGAUCCAGCAGAGCUCCCAAGUGACGUUAGGACUCUGAAAAUUUUUGGGUGCCACAAUAUCAGAAGCUUAAGUGAUAUGCCCUUCUUUCAGCAAACAAAUGAGUUGGGGUUCUGUUCGAUUCACGAUUGUAGAGGGAUAGAAUCUGUGCUUGAUCUGUCGUCACCAUCCCAAUCAUGCACCCCAUUUGAGAACCUUGACCUCUUGUGGCUUGAAAAUUUAGAGAACCUUCAUGUGCUUGUUAAACUAGCAGAAGCAUCCGUUGUUUCUACAUUGAGUUCGCAGUCUAUUCCAGCCAUCUUUUCCCAUCUUAAAUCAUUUUAUAUUGAAGGAUGCUCAAACAUGAAGCAGCUCUUUCCCUUUGACUUGGUACAUGACCUCCAAAACCUAGAGAACCUCAUAGUUCGUGGUUGUGGACAAAUCGAGGAAAUAAUAGGAUCAAAAGAAGAGGAAGAGAAUCACAAGGGAAAUGGAACGCAAGCUCCAACAAAGUUCAGCCUUCCCAAAUUAAGGGAGUUAGAAUUGAAGAACUUACCAGAGCUGAAGAGCAUAUGCAGUUCAAAUAGGGAAAUGGUAUGCAACUCUCUUAUGAAAAUCGAAGUAAAGAAAUGUACCAAUCUAAAAAGGAUGCCUCUGUAUCUUCCUCUUUUUCAAGAUACACACCAAUCAGCUCCUUCUGCUCAUCCUUUUUUACUAAUCCGCAUAGAUCCAAUGGAGUGGUGGGAAUCAGUAGAGUGGGACUAUCCGAAUGCUAAGGAGGUUCUGCGACCUUGGUUGAAAUUGUAUUAGCGCUGCUGGAAGCCUUUGCUGUUCAUAUCAAAUUCCGGAUCAAGCUAAACAGUGAGUCUUCAUUUGUUGUUUUUAUUUCUAGAAAAAAAAUUGAAGAUCUUUUAUUCUACCAAAAAGAAAACGGGAAAUCUGCAAGAAGAGGAUUAUGAUUGGCAAAAUAGAGACCAAAGAGAACAAAACUAUUACUAAUGUUUGAAACAAAUUUAGAUCAAUUAGCAUCAUGCUUUGUUACCAGCUGUAGGCCAAAUUGGUUGAAAAUGGUUUCAGUAAAGCACGGUCUCAUUUGCUUCUUUGUUUAACCCCAAUGGUUAGGCUUGCUCUAGAACCCUUGAGAUUCUCAUUAUGACAUUAAUGAUUUGAAUGAACCAACAGCCCCUUUUUCUUCUUUAUUUUGUAACUGCAAGCUUUAAGUUGAUAUAAAUAUGUUUUCCAAUGUAGUAUUCUUGUUUGCUUAGAUCAAUGUCAAAAACCUUGCCUCUAAUGCUUCCCUUACUUCUCCACUUUUUUUUUUUUUUUUAAAUUCUUUGUGGGGUCUUAUUAAAUACAGGUUGUUUAUGCCAUUCUAAAGCUAGCAAAGCAGUUGGCUUGACAAUCAAAUCUUGGAGAAACAAGUCAACCCAACUCAUCACUGUACCUUCAUUCUUCUGUGGGGGUUCUAUCUUUGAUGUGGUACUUCGUCGGAUGCAUCCUUCUCUUGUGGUUUUAUCUGUAAUAAAUGAACUUCAAUUUGGUUUCAAUGUGAUUGGAUUGUUGAUGUUGUAAUUCAACUUUGUACUUGAUAAUCCUGCUUCUAGUUUGCAUCAUUUUUUACUAUGUGGUUAUGUUUCCUGUGGCUUAAUUGUCUCAUUUGAUCUUGGAACUUGCACAUUUAUAUAUAUAUAUAUUGAACCAUCCCACAGGUAUAUACCACUUCUUGAAAUGGUGUUUUAUUUAGGUGGCCUUUUUGCUAUUGUGAACCAUCCCAAUGCUAAGCAGGAUCUGCUACCUUGGUAAUGCUAUAGCGCUACUGAAAGGCUUUGUACUUAGAUCAUCUUGAUUUUAAUUAAUUUGCAUCAUUUCAUUAUUUGAUUGUAAGUGUAUUUUCUCAUCUUGCGAAUUGGACUUAAUAAUCUAAGUUGUUUGCUUAUCAAUUAUACUUUUUACAAAACAAGUCCAGGAAAAGAUUGCAAACAGGGUUACAGGAUUGCUGGGAUUUCAAUUUUAUGUGUAUGCAUAUUAUUUAAUUUCUUAGGAUUAGAGCUCAUUUAUUUAUUUAUACUAGAUUUAUGGCACACUCAAUUGUGUAAAUUUUGGUUACAAUGAUAAAAUUAGUUCACAUCGUGCAUAAAGUUCUAAAUUCAAAUCAAUUUAUAGUAAGUUUUUAUUGAUUUAUAUUGUGUAAAAAAACAAAAACACUCUCAUUAGAAAUAAUUAAAGUUAAAUAUGGGUGAAUAUUUUAAUAAUUCCGUAGUUAACUUAAUACCUAACAGAAUCGAUAUAGUACUUAAAAUAAGUAUACACGUAAGUAUAGAUGAUGACUAUAAAAUAAUUUAGGCACUAAUUUCAGAGUGUUGUUAUAUCCAAUACCCACCACCUAGAGGCUUUCAAGCUAUAGAAAGGGUCCAAAACUCUAUCUAUUCCUUGCAUCUGAUGGUGGGGUAAUGUUUAGACAUAAUCUAGAUUUGGAUUUGAUUAUCUAGAAUUUUCAAAUUAAAUUGAUUUGGUUUCAGAAUUAGAAUAAAAAGCUAGUUUUGAAAUUUAUUUUAUUUAAGUUGGAAUGUAUUUUAUUUUGAGUCUAAUUUAAUUAAUAAAAUAAUUUUAAUUUAAUAUAUUAAGUCAAGAUUUUUAGUUGAUUAAGCAAUUUAUUAGUGAUUAAUGGAACUAGUUCAAAAAUUUAUCUUAACUGAAAUAAUUACAUUAAAAAAAUUUAAAAUAUCAUAGAGUGAACAUGAUAUAGUUUACUUUUUUUCAUCCUACUUAUGAGUCUUCUUGAAUAGUUUCAUUAUCUUCACAAUUUGCAUUCAUGUAGUUAUAUCACUCUACUUUUAGUUAUCCAUAAUUAAUUUUUUGAAAAAAUAUAUAUAACAAUGAAAAGUUAAGAAAUUUCAACCAAAAAAAAAAAAAAACACUUUUUGUUGAGGCUAUAGAUCAAAUGGCUAUAUUUGUUAAAUGACUACUCCAACCGUUAAAACCAUCUUUGUGAAAAAAAUCAGCUUGAUCAAGAUUGUAUACAGGAGCUAGAAUUGAAUGACUAAUAAUUUAAAUUGUUUUAAAAAAAUUAUUCAACUUUAACAAUUUCUUUUGAGAUUAAAAAAAUUUAAUCAAUUUUUUAAUAAAUUAAAUUUUAUCCAUCCCUAAUCUUUUAAAUAUAAAGAAAGACCCUAAACAGAUUUUUUAUUAAAAAAAUUAUAAGAUGAUAGAUAGCUACUUAUCAUUAAAUGUAGAAAAUAUUAAAUUACUUUUAUUUUAUUAAAAUAUUAAAAUAAAUUAUUUUUUAAAAUGAAAUAUUCAAAUUACCCUAUGUAUCUUUUAUCCAAAACUAUCUACAAUAAUAUAAAAUAUUAUAUUAAUAAAAUUAAAAUUAAUAAAACAAAUAAUCUUUUAAAAUCAAUAUUUACUUUUGUUAAAACAAUAUAAUUAUAUUCGAUACUUAUAUUUACUAAUUUAUCAAAUAAUUUUUAAUAUAAAUUUAAAACUUAUAAAAUUUAAUGGUAAAAAUUCAGUAGUUAAAUUUUUAAUAAUUAAAAUUUUAAUUUAUCAUUAGAUUAUGUAAGAAACAACAAUAAUAUAUAAAUAAUGAAAGUCAAUUACGUUCAUUGUCUUCCAUUAAAGAAAAGUUACACUCACAGUUUUUCAGUGAUAUUUCAGAUUUAUUUUUUAAUUAGUUUUUUAAUAAUAUAAUUUUUUUAUCGUAAUCAAGAUAUUCACAGUAGAUAGUAGUUACUAAUCUCUUUGUCGCAGGUAAAUAAUGUAUUUUUAAUUAUAAUAAUUAGUAUAUUCGUUAUUUAAAUUAUUGAAGAUAAUUAAAUUAUAUUAUCUUAUUUUAAAAAUCAAACUUAUAAUAAUAAAAAAUUUUAAAUGAUAAUUAAAGCAUUUAUAUUAUAUUUAAUGUAGAAUAUAAUUUUACUUCAUUUAAUUUAUACAGAACAACAUUACUAAUAAUAAUAAUAUAAUUAACAUAUAAAUUUUAUUUUGUCAUUCAAAUGCAAUGCUAAUAAAAAAAUUGUAAAAAUUAUAAUAAAAAAAGUAAUAUAUCAUAGGGAUCAUAUAUAAAAUCACUUAAUAAAAAAAAUUUAAUCUUCACAAAAUUCCAAUCUAUCCCAAAUAAAGUCAUAAUAAUAAAUUUCUUGAUAUUAAUCAAUAAAGUUUAAAACAAAAAAUAUAUAUAUUAUCAAAUUAGGAAAACCUACUUGAAAAUCUUGAAAAAUUAAUAUUUAUCAUAUAAAAUUCUAGAGAGAAAAAGAGAAUACGAAAAAUAUUGGAGAAAGUGAUGAAUAUUAAAAAGAAAAAGAAUAAGGAGUUUUGAGAUUUUGAGUAGGUUCAGAGAUAUUUAUUUCUUUUAUAUAAAUAAAUUAUUUUUAUAACAAAAUGUAAUAUCCAAAAAAAUUUACAGUAAGAUAUUAUCUUUGAUAUAAUAAAUAAGGAAAUAAAAUAAAAAAAAAGGAAAAUUUUAGAGCUAAGUCAACAUGGGGAAGUAUAUUAUAUUACAUAUAAUAUAAUAAGUAGAGUAGAUUAUAGAAAAGAUCCAUAAUAAUUAGACCUCCUCUGCUUUCCCCCAUAUUUGUUUUCCGGCCUCUUAGACUUUUGUCUAGCAAAUAUUACAACUUCUAGUUUCCAUAAGUUGUGGAUUAGUAUUUAUAUUUUAACUUGAUUAAUUUAAGCCAUUAUAUUUUUCUAAUCGGUCUUAAUUCCUGUAAUUUUUAAAUUAUUAAAUAUAAUUAAAUUAUUUUAUUUUAUUUAAUAAUUCAAAUAUUAUAAUAAUGAUAACUUUCAAAUUAUAAUUAAAUCACUUUAAUUAUAUUCAAUAUAAAUAUAUUUUUACUUCAUAUAAUUCAUACAAAGUAACAUUACUAAAAAUAAUAGCAUAAUUAACAUAUACCAAUUAUUUUAUCAUUCAAAUAUAGUGCUAAUAUUUUUUAAAUAAUUAUUGAAGUCUUCAUUAUUCAAUGUACUAUUCAUUAAAUUUUUAUAUAUGAAAUAUAAAAUACUUAUUAUAUAAAUUAUUUAAAUUUGCUAUUUUGGAACCAACAUAUAUUUUCCAUAGAAACGCAAUGAUUAAAUUAUAAAUUAAUUUAAUAUAAAUAUUAACUUUUUAUUUACUAUUCUAAAUUUUAGCAGAAUCAAAUUUUUUAUAAUUUUUUUAAUUUAUAAGUAUGAUAAAUUUUAUUAUCAAAUAAAUUUUUUUAACCAAACAUUUUAGUAAAAUUAAUUUUUUAUAAAUAUGAUUAAUCUUAUAAAUAAUAAAAUAUUUUAAAAUAAUAAAUUUAAUAAUAUAACAAACAAUAAAAAUUAUAUUGAUUAGUUCGAAUCUAAACUCGUAUUUUUAUAUAUAUUAGUCUUUGACAUAUGUGCAAUGUUUAUAUUUUUAUUAUUCUUUUUACAAUAUUAAAGAAGUACUUAUGUUUGUUUGAAAGAUGGAUAUAUCGCAUAUAUAUAUUUUAUUAUCUUUACAAAAUUAAUUAAAAUAUUAUAAUAAAAUAAUUUAGUAUAACAUAUAAAAUAAACUAAAUAAAUGUGUGAUCAUAAUGAAUGAAGAUUAUAAUUUUGCAUCAUUAUCGAUUUAAACGAUCUUUCAUCUCUUUCUUAUAGUGUUGUCAUUUGACAAUCACUUGAAAUUUCCUUUGAAAACCUAUUACUUUAAUACUCAAUAUUUUUUAGAUACUUAAAACUUAUCAAUCUAACAGUCUUCAUUUGUUGAAUAAUAUUUAUAAUAAUAGAUCUUAAUUUUAAUUGGUAUAUAAAUAUAACACUAAUUAAAUGAUAACUGAUUUAAAAUAAUAUUUAUUAUUAAUAAUUAAUAUACUCAAUUGUAUAGUUCAAACCAAUAAAAACUCUAUUAUACAAAAAAUAUUAUUAUUAUAAUAAUUUUAUCUAUUAACUUUUAUUGAGACUUUAUCUAUUACUAGUAUACCUAUCAUACCCAUAUUCGUGUGAAAAUAUUUAGAAUGUAUGUGACCGUAUUUUCAAAUGAAAAAAAAAAUCUAUUAUUUAAAAAAAUAUUUUAAACUCAUACUUUUAUAUAUAUAUCAAACUCGUGCACAUCUAUAUUAUUAUUAUUAUUAUUUUGUACAAGAGGGACAUGCUACAAAAUUGAUGUGAAUAAAAUCAUAAAAGAAUUUAAAAUGAUAAGAUAUUACUUAUUGAUUAAAUUGAAUAGUUUAAGUAAUAAUGAAAAUAUAAUUAAAGAUGGAUUAUUUUAAUAAUUGUUAUGAUUUAAAUAAAGGUAAAAUAACAACUCUUUCUUAAAAAUUUAUGAUUAAAUAUUAAAUUUCAAAAAAUAAAAAGUAUUAAAGAAAUUAGAUUAAAGUUUGAUUUAAUUUAUAUAUGCAUACUAAUAAUAUAUAAAAUUAAGGGUAAGCUACACUUAUGGUCACUUUUGUUUGAUUUAACAAUGUCUUUAUCAUUUCACGGAGAUAAUACCAACACUAACAACCAUACUUUUUGCUACAAAGAUAAUAUCAAUUUCAAGCCUUAGUGGUCUCGUGUCUUAAUCUAUUUUUAGCUCAAGCAUCGGAGAGAGAUUACAGGUAAAGGAUAUGGCAUUUUAUAUUUCCAACUUUGUCAAUUGAAUAAAAAAAAAUAAAAGGUAUUUUUGAAAGUCAUUUUUUAUAUAAAAUCUUUAAAAUAUUUUUUUACUUUUAAAAUUUUUAAUUUUUUUUAUAAUUUAUAUUUAAUUUUUAAAAUUUUAAGAAUUUUUAAAUAUUUUUAUAAUUUUUAAAAUUCAGACUAAAAUGACAAAUUUUGUAAACAUUGAGGACUAACUUUGUUGAAUUUUUAAAAUUUAGGAUCAAAUUAGUAGAAUGUGUAAAUAUUGAAGGGUUAAAUUUUUUAUUAGGCCAAUAAAAUAAAGUCACGUUAGACUAACUCACGGAAGAAUGACUAAAAUAUUUAAUUUCAAAAAAUUAAAUAAUUAAAAAAAAAUUAAUAGUUGGGUGAUUGAAAUAGAACAAUAUGAAUAGUUAGAUGACUAUUCUUGUACUUUACAACUAAAAUAUUAAUUUAAUUUAGGUUUAACAUAUUUCUGUUAAUCAAAUUGUAAAAAUAUUCAGUAAUUGUUGGUCUAACAAAACAAUUUAAUAGUUUCACAAAAAAAAAAAUAGUUUAAUUCAAAACUUAUUAAGAAAAAAAUAUUUAAUAAUGAAAAAAAGAAAAGCAUUUUUUUAAAAAAUUUGUAAUAAUAAGAAAAAUAUUUUCUUAUAAAAAUAAGAAAAAUAUUUUUUAAUAAUAAAACACAAAAAGAAUUCACAAAAAUACUGUAAUACAAAAAGGGAAAAUUGUAAUUAAAUAUUUUUUAAUAUUAUUUUAAAACAAUUUAUAAAAAUAAUUAAACAUUUUAAAAAGUCAAGAUGUUUUUAAUUCAACCAAAGUACUUUGCACGUUGUAUCGAAAGUAUAUUAUUUAAAUUUUAUAAGAAAAAUAUUUUUAAAUAAAUAAAAAGCACAAAAGAAAAUAAUUUAAUUAUAAUAAGUAUUUUUCGGGUAAAAAGAGGGGAAAAAAUAAAAGAAUUCAUAAAAAUGAUAUGAAAAGGAAAAGUUAAUUAAAUGCUUUAUAAUAUUAUUUUAAAAGAGCUCAUAAAAAUAAUUAAAAAUUUUAGAAGAAUAUUUUAGUUUUUCUUAACACUUUUUGGAGCUGACACAUAAUUUAUAGAUAGAUAGAUAAUCAUACCCUAAAAAUCUAUCCUUUAUAAAGAACUAAAUGUAGUUGUUAUUAUUACCUUGCAGAGUAUUUGGUGAAUUAUGGAAUUUGUAGGACCAAUUUGUGAAGCAUUAAAGUGCUUAGGAGAUCCAACAUGUACAUACAUAGAGCAUCACAGAAAACUUGAAGACAGGAUGAAUGAUCUUCUGGCAAAACAACGCCAACUAAAUGCUAUGAAGCGAGAUGUGGAGCUGAGAAUAGAGGCGGAGCUUCGAUGGGGAAGACUUUUAAGGAAAGAAGUAGAGAACUGGCUUCUAGAGGUGCAAACCGUCAAUGGCAAAGUACAGGAGGUUGAUAAAAGAAAGCAAAAUGUGUCUUGUUUUUCACGUGGGCGCCUUGGGAAACAAGUUUCCCAAACAGUUGAAGAAGUAAAGGAAAUUAUUGAACAAGGCAGGUUCACUGGAGCUCUAGUAAUUGAUGAUCCAUCUACUGCUGGAGUGCCUUUUCAGUUGGAACAUUUGGAAGGUGAAACCGAGGUGAUUGAAGUCAUUUGGAAGCAUUUGAUGAGUGAUGAAAUUGGAAUGGUUGGUGUAUGUGGAAUGGGCGGGAUCGGGAAAACCACUAUAAUGAAGCACAUACACGAUCAACUAUUGGAGGAGACUAAAUCUAAACCCUUGUUUGAGAAAAUCAUUUGGGUCACUGUUUCACAGGACUUCAACAUCACCAGGUUACAACAAGACAUUGCAGAUGCUAUGAAUAUUAAAGAUCUUCCGGAAUCUGAAGAAAAGCGUGCAGCUGUGUUAAGGAACAAAUUGCGACAAAUAAGAUAUGUAUUGAUCUUAGAUGAUGUUUGGGAAGGGUUCGUUCUCGAAAAGGUAGGGAUCCCUGAACCAAUAUCCAGCAAUCGGAGUAAGUUGGUAUUAACUAGUAGAUUGAAAGAGUUUUGUAAAUCUAUAGGCUGUCAUGAGAUAGUCGAAGUGCCUCUACUUUCCUUUGACGAGUCCAUGAAUUUAUUCUUGGUUCAUACCGGACAUGAGGUUCUAAAGGUUCCAUCUUUGGAAAAAAUUUUGGGCGAUAUUGUUAGAGAGUGUGAUAGGUUACCCCUUGCCAUAAAAGUAAUAGCUAGUAGCAUGAAGGGAAUAUAUGAUGUUGUUGAAUGGAGGAAUGCAUUAACAGAGUUACGUAACCAUGUAACAAGUGUGAAGGACACAGAUAAAGAAAUAUACGGGCGAUUAAAGUUCAGUUUCGACCGUUUGAAAGAUUUGAAUAUCCAAAAUUGUUUCCUUUAUUGCUCACUGUACCCAGAAGACUAUAGAAUUCCAAGGAUGGAAUUAAUAGAAUAUUGGAUAGACGAGAGAUUUCUUGAAAUGGCGAGUCGACAACAAUUGCAUGAUAGGGGUCAUACUAUAUUAAAUAGGCUGAUAAACAACUGUUUGUUGGAAAAGGCAGGAGAUGAUGUUAAGAUGCAUGAUGUGAUGAGAGAUAUGGCAUUGUAUAUCAAACAACUUCAUUUUAUUGUAAAAGCUGGCACCGGAUUGGAAGAAUUACCAAGCAAUUCAGAAUGGAAAAAAGAUGUUGAAAGGGCUUCAUUCAUGAUGAAUAAGGUAUCAGAAAUUCCUCUAAGCUUGUCACCCAAUUGUGGAAACCUUUCGACCUUAUUACUGAAAAUGAAUGUGUCCUUGAAAAGGAUUUCCGAAUCAUUCUUUCAGCACAUGCAUAGUCUCAGCAUUCUUGACCUUUCUUAUACCGGUAUCAAGCAAUUGCCCAAUUCCGUUUCAAACUUGGAAACGCUCAAUGCAUUGGUGCUUCGUGGAUGCUGCAACUUGAGAUAUGUGCCUUCACUAGAAAAGCUUAAGGCUCUACGAAAGCUAGACCUCCGUGAUACAGCUAUUAAAGAGGUGCCUAAAGGUUUGGAAAUGUUAGUAAAUCUGACAUAUCUUGAUUUAUCUACUGAAAGCUUAAAGGAGUUCCCAAUGGCAAUUCUCCCUCAGCUUUCCUGUCUACAAUAUUUGAUAUUUUACAGUAAAUCACGUACUGUAAAACUGGAUGGAUCGGAAGCUGCCAGAUUAAGGAAGCUAGAGGAAUUUGAAGGGAGAUUUAAUGAGUUGACAGACUUUAAUGACUACACCGACUCUAUACGAAGUCAAAGUCUUACUUCUUACUUGCUUGUCAUGGCACCACCUGAAGCCAAGUUUAAAGUCAAAGAGGGAACCAGAAAAUUAAAGCUUAAGUAUGAUGGUUCAGGAGACAUCACAGUCCCAAAACUAAGGAAAAUGACAAAAGGACUCAAAGGUACGAUCGAAUCAAAUCUAUAUUAUGUUAAUCUACUUUUAUGAUAUUAAUUUCGUCAGUGUUGAUAUUCAUAUUCCUUUUAGUUAUUGAAUAUUUUAUUCAAAACACAUCGAGUUAAAUAUAAAUACAAUAUUUAAAUGAAGGACAACGAUAGAAAAACUUUUUGAGGAUUGGAAUUAAAUUAUAUAUUUAUCUGAUAGUAAAAAUAUAAUUUUACCAUCUUAAUAGUUUAUAUAUUUAUAAUUUUUGAAGGAUUAAAUUAAAAUUUUAUAAUUUUGAGGAAUUAAAAUAUAAUUUUACUAUUAUUAAUUUAAAAAUAAAAAAUUUUCCAGCUGGCCGCCUGCAAACCCCCGGCUUAGCCACUGAUUCAAAUUAUUUGGUAGCAAAAUAAAAAAUAAAAAAAUACAUUUAGCCAAUUGAGCUUUCAAAGUUUUUUAUUAAUCUGGUCCAAACAUUAAUCAAACCUGCUUAUGUGGCAUCAAAAUCAGUUUUCAACAUUUCAUAAUCAUAUUUUGAGGAAAUUGAAAAAUGAGAAAUGCUUUCUAAAUAUAUAAUUGAUUAAAGCCAAUAUUCAAGAAUAAUUUAUAAAUACUUUUAUAUGCUGCUAAAUAUUGAAUAUCUGUGGAAUCUGUGUCCUUUGUAUAUUUGCAUUUUAUUUAUUUUUAGCAUGCCUUUUGUUUCUUUUCGCAUAUUUUUAACAGUUGAAGGUGUGGAAUAUGUGGCCUUUAAAGAGGAAAAUGGACAAGUGAAAGUGAUUGGUGACGUGGAUCCUGUUCGAAUCGUAAUGAAGCUGAGAAAAUAUAUCCAUGUUGAUAUCUUGUCUGUGGGUCCAAACCGGAGGAGCUUUCGCUCUCUUCUACCCAAGAAGGAAGUAAUUUUAAGUGGAUGCCAGAUCGGAAGAGGUCCAGUGAUUCUUCCAACUGAUCUUAUGCUUCUGAGAAUUUUUGAAUCCCACAAUGUGAGAAGCUUAAGCGAUAUCUCCAUAUUCUUCCAACAAGCAAGCCAGUUAAGGUUCUGUUCAGUUGAAGAUUGUAAAGGGAUAGAAUCCAUUCUCGACUCGUCUUUGUCGAACUCGCUUUGCAGACCACUUGAGAACCUUGAGUACUUGUGGCUUGAAAGGUUGGCUAAUUUGCAUGUGCUUAUUAAAUUCGAAGCACCUCUUUCUAUUUCUAGGUCACGGCCUCUACUAGGCAUCUUUUCUCAUCUUAAAUCAUUUGUGAUUAAAAAAUGCCUAAACAUGAAGCAGCUCUUCCCAUUUAAGCUAGCACAUGACCUUCAAAACCUGGAGAAUCUGGUGGUUUGUAAUUGCGUACAAAUGGAGGAAAUAAUAUCAUCAGAGGAAGAGAAUCACAAGGGAAACGGAAUAAACACUCCCAUGAAAUUCAGUCUUCCCAAAUUAAGGGAGUUAGAAUUGAAGAACUUACCAGAGCUGAAGAGCAUAUGCAGUUCAAAUAGGGAAAUGGUAUGCAAUUCUCUUCGGAAUAUUGAAAUAUCGAAAUGUACGAAUCUGAAAAGGAUGCCUCUGUAUCUUCCUCUUUUUCAAGAUACACACCAAUCAGCUCCUUCUGCUCAUCCUUUCGGAAGAAUCCGCAUAUGUCCAAAGGAGUGGUGGGAAUCAGUAGAGUGGGACUAUCCGAAUGCUAAGGAGGUUCUGCGAC